CUGAAACUGAGCGACAAUCUAUAAGUUCACCUGCUACACAACCGAGUGGAUCAGGUGAUGAUAGGAAUUCAACAAAUGAAAGAAUGGAAGGUGAUGGUAGUAAUGAGCAGAUGGGGCCACAACAAAGUGGAGGUUCGAUACGAAAAGGGCGUGGAAGAGCAAAAAAUGAAGCCUUGCACAAAAUUAAGGAAAACAACUGUCCAGUUCCAGUAGAGUUUGGAGAUGGUUAUAUUAAACCUGUUGGUUUAAAUAACAAAUUAUGGACGGCUAAGGUUGGCAUUAAUACACGAGAUACAGAACCCUUUUAAAGUAUAAAAUGUGGAGGGGUGUUCCAGAUUUUGAGAAAGAGGUCUACUAUGACCAUUUGACGGUAAUGAUGACAAUCAUUUAAUGUUUGUUUUGUUAAAAAUAAAUCAGAGGUUACUAGUCCAAUUGGUUAUAAAUUAUAGCUUACAUUAAUUUUACAUUAUAAAGAAGAUCUUUGGAGUGGAUGCAUAUGCGAAUGACACUAAUUUUAAGCGAGUAAAUAAGGGAAUUUCCAGCGCAUUGAGGAAAUAUAGAUAUAAAUUGAAGUGUCAUUUUGAGGAGCAUCUUCUGAUUGAGAAUGCACGCUACCAUCCUUACAAUGGCAUUGGUCAAGCUGUUUGGCAAAAGUUGUGUGAUACGUGGAUGUCACCAGAAUUUCAGGUCAAACUCAAAGAAAGGCAGAGCCAAGAAGAUGAGGACGGUGAAAGGGAUGAGGAUCCUGCUAUUCACUUGUACAAGGACACACAUUUUAAGGAACAAGGUGGAUGAACACACGAGAAAGCUAAGAGGAAUUUUAUAAGUUAACUAUAAACUAGCAUGUUGGAUUAUGAAAUUUGGAUCUCAUAAUAUUUUUGCGGUUUAUAGGGGGUCACAUGCCUUUAAGUGACUAUUUUUGCGGUUUAUAGGGGGUCACAUGUCUUUAAGUGACCAUUCUUGAUUUUUUGUGCACAAAUGGAGGUGGGAAAUUGUUGCAGAUGAAAUGUAGUUUUCAUUCAUU
This is a long non-coding RNA of Cornus florida, 1024 nucleotides long. RefSeq lists it as uncharacterized. The record is from RefSeq and is a predicted model, not a curated record. NCBI's taxonomy places the organism in Eukaryota, Viridiplantae, Streptophyta, Magnoliopsida, Cornales, Cornaceae. The transcript has 3 exons.